Callithrix jacchus (white-tufted-ear marmoset) is the source of this 4660-nucleotide long non-coding RNA. Lineage: Eukaryota; Metazoa; Chordata; Mammalia; Primates; Cebidae. The record is from Ensembl.
AUGCUUUUUCAAAAAGCACUAAAUAGCAACACCUUUUCCGGGAAGACAGGCUUCCACCAAGUAGGGAAGUCAUGCUCAGCUUUUAAAAUGGAAAAUAGCUAUUGCAUAAUUACCAUUUUAAUCAGAGAAUUAAGGGGAAAAGGAAGAAUCCACUCCACAUCUACAGCCUUAGGAUCAGCUAGAAGGUCAGCUUCUUCCCCGGAUUGUUCAGUGAGACUGAUUUCCAGACAUGGACCAGCCGGCCGCAGCUGCUGGUGCCCUGCUGCACCCUGCUCCCCCUGCCUGGAUUCACUGGCAUCCUGGCAGCAGUGUGGGCGCUGGGGCAGGCAUCUGGAGAUGGUGCAUGGCUCUGGGCUUGGCAUGCCUGGCAGAAGCCCCUGCUGCAGAGAAGGAGAUGAGGAGAGAAGCCUGCUCUGGUCUGGAGGAGCAUCCCGGUCUCUGAGCACAUGGACACACGGUGACUCUGAGACACAAGGGGAAGGUCAUCACAGCUGUCCCACACAUGGUGCUGACCACAGUGACCCCAGAGGACACGUGGUGCUCUGUGUCUGUGACGAUGCAGGAAAGCCCUGGAGGAAAACAUGUCACCAAAAAGGGAUGAAAUAAGGCUGUGAUUGCAAUUCUGAAUUUUUUUUUUCUGAAAACAUAGCACAUUUUAUGAUGCGAUUAUACAAUGCAAUUAUGAAAAUCGUACACACUCAAGAUCGAUUUUUCCAGAGGAAUCAACAUCAGGGCUGUAUUCUUCACCUGCAUGACAUAUAACACAGCAGUUUCACGGCAUUUUUUUGGGAACUGAUCAUUCAGCCAGGCCAAUGGCAAUGUUUUGUAUUUCUAAUUCUUCUUUCCCUGCCUUAGGACAGUUUGGGGAAACAAACAUUAUACCGGCUAGAGUGCUACUUUAAUUUUUACCUUUUCUCAACUAUCUCAUAGUGUGUUCUAGCCCAGCCUGGGAGAAUCUGGGGCCUCUCCUUUGCCCCAUUCCCCAGCCAUCUGGCAAUGUCUGGUGACAUUUUUUCUGUCAAGACUGGAGGGUGCCACUGGUAGUGACCAGAUAGACCCCAGGGAUGCUGCUGAACGCCCUACAAUUCACAGCGCAGCCCCAGCAACAGAGCUCUCCAGUCCAAAACGUUAAAUUUUGCAGGAUUUCGCAAUUCUGAAUUUUUUAAAGAACACCGUUUCCUAGUGAAUAAAUACGUAGCUGGUAAUGACUGGUUAUUUGAAUGAUUCGGUGCAAAUUCCCCGAAACAAUAAAGCUGGCUCAGUUUGUCUAAAGUAGAACAUGUUCGACCUGAAACUUCUUGGAAAUACACAUAUUUUGUAAGAUGAAAUCCAAUUUAAUAAAUUUGUCUUUCAUGACUUUUAUUCAUAGAAAAACCAGAGAGUAUUGUGACAUUUAAGAAUCAAGUAAUUUAAUAUUAAAACCAGAGCAUAUAAAUGACAAAACCAAGCCGUUCUGAGGCACAGUAGCACUUGGUUUGCUAAGUCCGUAAAACUACUUGCAUUUGCUGGUUAGAUUUAAUUUUCUAAAACUACGCAGUCCUGUUUAGUUACUAGUUAGAUGGUUUUCAUAGGAAUCUAGUUAGGAAGAGCAAUUGACUUGUGUCUGUUCAUUGCUAUUUUCAGUUAAGAGCCAGUCCGUACCAGGGGUAACUAUUGGAACUUGUAGAGUGAUCCAUAGCACUUGAAUGAAUAGUUGAGCCUCUGAAGUUACUCAAGCAACUAUUUUAACAUUACAGAUUUAAGGACAUUCCUUGCUGCAAAUGUGUGAUCACAGGAGUCCACAGCUGAAUGGGUGUGAGGCCAGGAGCCUUUUGGAUAUGGUAAACGCCUUACUGUCAAUCAUUUUUACUCUCUAUAUAGUUACACAUGGAACAUAGCCAUGUGUAAAGUGAAUGUUUGGUCCUCACCGUGAGGAAAGCCCAGUCACACUCUGUGAUUUAGACACUUUAUUGUCAUCAAUGUCAUGUUGCAAAAGGCUUUCUAUCCCUUAGUUACUCUUGGCAUCCCUGUUUGUCCCUAUUUCCCUAUUUUCUGUAAGAAAGCUGGGUCUGGAAAGCCGGAGACCUCCCAUUCAGCGUGAAGCCAAGCUGCGUCUGGAAGCCGAGUCCACUUCCGCACCCCGUGUUUUUGGCCAGAUGGUUCAAUAGAUCCCUUUUGGCAUAUUUUGGUUCAAUUCCAAAUUAGAGCCCACCCCGCUGGUGUCUCCCUUUGCGGGUUAUUUCAGUGCUGUGGGUGCUGUUCAGGCAACCUGGUAGCGUGACCUAUGUCUGUUGUCCUGGUUCUCCAUCCAAACCUGAGUAACGGGACAAAGGUCUCUCCUGAAGAUUGGCAGGAUAGCGAAACUCCACAGAGAGGCCUGAUUCAAAAGUGCUAUUCUUUUCAAACAAAGGAUGGAUAAACUCACAGUGCACAUUUAAAAAGGUUAAAUCCGAUAUAGCCGGAGCAAUAUUUGUUUAACUACACAAAGUGAAAGAUGAUUUGGCUGAGGGACCAGGGAGAGACCUUUUAUUUGAUCUGAUUUUACAUAAACACUUCUGCACACAGAGGCUCCUGGACCUCAUCAUAACCAUCACUGGAUGUCUGCUCAGGGGACCCUUCAUCUUCACUCCAAAUGUCAUUUCUUAGAGCUGACUGCAGAGCCCACAGUGAUAGCUCAAGUUUGUUCCUUAUCAGAUGCUCUCAGCUGCAGACACAAUACCUGGAGAUUGGCUUAGGUGUUUUUUUUUUUUCUUUUUUGCUCCAAGAAAAGUUUGCAAACAGAAAGAUGUGUAUGAGAAUACUCUGCACUGGGGGGGUUAUUGAGAGAUGAUCUCAGUCAUCUGAAGUGAAGAGCAGCACUUGGAAGGAGGCAUCUCCCUUGCAUGUUCCCCUCUGCACUGGCUGCACAGGAAGCCCCAGGACUAGUGACAGAAAGAAACCCACCUUCAGCAAGCGUGAAACUCAUGUGUGCCUUAAGGGUCUUGAUGAAAUGAACAUUUCUUCAAAUAAACCAGGACUCAAUGGGUCGGAAUGAUCCAUUAGCCUGCUUUUUGCCUGCUUGUUGUAUAUUUAGGAAUAAGAGCUCAAAUUCAGGGAAAACCAGUCAUGUUAGGGACUGACAUCGAGUGUAUUUUGCCAGGUUGGUGUUUAUGGUGUAGACUCCCACCCCACAUGUAAUUUAGAGGUUGAUGGAUUUAUAUUGGGAAUACAAGCCAAGGUACUGGAUCAUCCGAAAUCAUUAACGGAGCGCCAGAGUGGGCUCACCGGCUUCUGUUUACUGAGAUAGGGAAUAAGAAAACAAGCUCACAUUUAUAUAAAUAACUUCACAAGCCAAUGGGAACAAAUCAGUAAUGCUUCUUUAGCUAAGACGCUAUGACUAGAGUACUUGGCUCCAUUAAGCUUAUAAGAAAUCAAAGUUGAAGAGAGAAGGCAACGCUUUGCUGCCUGGCACAGCUCUGGAAGCUCCUGGGAAUAUUUUCUCAGAAUAAGGAGAAGGAAGAGGAGGAAGAGGCAAAGCAAAACUGAAGUACAGUUGGUAGUCUUUGCCGUGUAGGGCCCACGGUUGUGAUGUGCAGAUCUGGCUUCUCCAGGGGCAGGGCUCAGGCACUUAGGAAUGAAUUGGCUCAGGAGCCUCUGUUGUGAGGCUCUGGGUCUGUUUAUCAAACCCAUGCCGGAAACACCAUAGUUGUUAAUAACUUUGGAGUGAGACAUACCAAAGUUCAAACCUUAAUCGCCUCUGCCGCUAGCUGGGUAACCUUGGCACUUUACCUAAACAGAGCUGAGUAACCUUGGCAAGUUAUCUGAACUAAGCUGACCUCUGUCAACCUAAAUAAUAGAGAAGGAAACUACCUAAAAGAUGAUUUUAUACACUGUUGGUGGGAGUGUAAAUUAGUUCAACCAUUAUGGAAGACAGUGUGGUGAUUCCUCAAGGAUCUAGAAAUAGAAAUAUCAUUUGACCCAGCAAUCCCAUUACUGGGUAUAUACCCAAAGGAUUAUAAAUCAUUAUAUUAUAAAGACACAUGCACAUUUAUAUUUACUGCAGCACUAUUCACAAUAGCAAAGACUUGGAACCAACCCAAAUGCCCAUCAAUGAUAGACUGGAUUAAAAAAAAUGUGGCACAUAUGCACCAUGGAAUACUAUGCCGCUAUAAAAAAGGAUGCAUUCAUGUCCUUUGCAGGGACAUGGAUGAAGCUGGAAACCAUCAUUCUCAGAAAACUGACACAAGAACAGAAAAUCAGACAUCACAUGUUCUCACUCAUAAGUGGGUGUCAAAGGAUGAGAACACAUGGGCACAGGGAGGGAAACAUUACACACUGGGGCCUGCCGGGGCUUGGUGGGGAGGCUAGGGGAUGGACAGCAGAGGCUGGGGGGAUGGGGGAGGGAUAGCAUUAGGAGAAAUACCUAAAGCAGAUGAUGGGGUGAUGGAUGCAGCAAACCGCCAUGGCACGUGUAUACCUAUGUAACAAACCUGCACGAUCUGCACAUGGACCCCAGAGCUUAAAGUAUAAUAAUAACGAAAGAUGAUGGUAGGCAUUGCGAUGGGAAUGUGUGUGCCACGGUAAACAAAUUGCUUAUUCGGGGAGGUAAAAAGAGAUAAAGUUGUUUUUUUUUUAAAAAGAAAAUGCGGAGUGUAGCACUGUUUUGAGAUAAUUAUCCUUGGCUACAAGGAUCAGUCACAAG